AACGAACGCUGGCGGCGUGGAUAAGACAUGCAAGUCGAGCGCUGAUUACAGGGUAGCAAUAUUCUGUGGUCGGAGCGGCGCAAGGGUGCGUAACACGUGGGUAAUCUGCCAUGAAGUCUGGAAUAACUUGCUGAAAGGCGAGCUAAUACCGGAUGUGAACAUCGGGCGGCAUCGUUUGAUGUUCAAAGCUGGGGACCGUAAGGCCUGGCGCUUCAUGAUGAGCCCGCGGCCUAUCAGCUAGUUGGUGGGGUAAUGGCUCACCAAGGCGACGAUCUGUAGCGGGUCUUAGAGGAUGAUCCGCCACACUGGAACUGAGACACGGUCCAGACUCCUACGGGUGGCUG
Molecule: ribosomal RNA, 344 nt
Filed under: uncultured Verrucomicrobiota bacterium
Lineage: Bacteria; Pseudomonadati; Verrucomicrobiota
Description: bacterial SSU rRNA
Rfam family: Bacterial small subunit ribosomal RNA
Source: RNAcentral